AUGCUCUCCGUAAUACACAGUCCU
Molecule: non-coding RNA, 24 nt
Filed under: Arabidopsis thaliana (thale cress)
Lineage: Eukaryota; Viridiplantae; Streptophyta; Magnoliopsida; Brassicales; Brassicaceae
Source: RNAcentral